Schizosaccharomyces pombe (fission yeast) is the source of this 516-nucleotide non-coding RNA. The record is from the annotation of a GenBank genome assembly. NCBI's taxonomy places the organism in Eukaryota, Fungi, Ascomycota, Schizosaccharomycetes, Schizosaccharomycetales, Schizosaccharomycetaceae.
AUCUAUUCAAGUUUUAUCACUUAAAAGUUUGCUAAAUACGAUUUUCAUACAAUGUACGGUGGACACUUAAAAUUGAAUAAACACGUUAAUACCUCCUUUAUCUGUCUAGAAAAAUGCUUCAAUUGUUUGUAUGAAUGCUUGACAUCGAAGGUUCGGAGUCUGAACAGUUGUACUGGGCGAAGAGAAGAAUAGUCUACAUAUAAGUGUUUAAAAGUUUCAAGAAAUUUGAUUAGUACUGAGUUGUACAUAUUAGUGAUGUUCUAAGGAUUGCUAAUCAGAAAACGAACAGCACUAAAGUUAGUACUUCACAUUCAAAACCUACGAUUUUUUCAAGAAUUGACAAUACUUUAUCUGUUCGAAAUUUGUCAAAAUAAAGACUCACUGAUAAUUUGUAAUCAAUAAUGAACUAAAAUUUUAAAAACAACAUUGGGAAUCUAACUUUUAAACAUAUAUGGGUAGUUAACAUUCGCAUCGCCGAUUUCAUACAAUAUCCACAACACUCAAUGUUGGUUACAC